UACGUAGGGUGCAAGCGUUGUCCGGAAUUAUUGGGCGUAAAGAGCUCGUAGGCGGUCUGUCGCGUCGGCUGUGAAAAUCCGUCGGGCUCAACCCGCGACCUGCAGUCGAUACGGGCAGACUGGAGUUCGGCAGGGGAGACUGGAAUUCCUGGUGUAGCGGUGAAAUGCGCAGAUAUCAGGAGGAACACCGGUGGCGAAGGCGGGUCUCUGGGCCGUAACUGACGCUGAGGAGCGAAAGCGUGGGGAGCGAACAGG
This 255-nucleotide ribosomal RNA is filed under the name uncultured bacterium. RNAcentral describes it as "partial 16S ribosomal RNA". It matches the Rfam family "Bacterial small subunit ribosomal RNA", at positions 524 to 776 of the family's 1533-position model. The record is from RNAcentral.